Equus caballus (horse) is the source of this 2612-nucleotide long non-coding RNA. The record is from Ensembl. Lineage: Eukaryota; Metazoa; Chordata; Mammalia; Perissodactyla; Equidae.
UUCUGGGAUUUUAUUGAACGGAAAGCGCUUCUUCCCAAGGCUGAUGAGUUGCUUGUAAAAGCUUGAAAGCGGGGCAGGUGGGUGGUGCCGAGCUGGGGAGGCAGUCUUGCCUGUUUGGGAUGGCUUCCCGCUCCAGAGGAAGAUCAAGGGCCUUCUCCUGGGGUGGCAGGAGAAGGUUGGGGGAAAUGGCCCUUCAUGCGGUCGAACCUUCCUGAGCUUUGGUUUCCCUACCUGUGCAAUGAGAGGCCGGGACUGGAAGACUCCUCGAGACCCUCCAGCUCCAUGGCUGCACACCUUCAAAGGCUUUCACAGGUUUUAUUAGGAUGUUAGAAAUGUCAUCCUUGGGCCAGGGCUCUGCAUCUGACAUUGGCAGAGGGGAUGGGAGUUGCCUUGUCCAACCGAAGCUGGGAGAAGGAGCCAGCUCCCGGAUUCCCAGGCCUCUUCCUGUGCUUCAGGCCUUCCGGCUUCAGGUCUCUGGGGAGCCUGGGCACAGCCCACUGAAGGCCCGGGAAUCUGCAUUUUAACAAGCCCAGCAAGUGGCUCUGCUCACACUGAAGUCUGAGAACUUACUCCAGGAAUUCCCCAGGGAAAAGGAAGGCGUUUGGGGCCUGGCAUUGACCUAUGAAAUUCCAGAAACAGCAGAGCUUUUCAGAAGAUAGUUCGGCGUCUGACUCAGCUUCCCUGAUAAACAGACACUGCCGGCCAGGAUUUUCCCAGCCCAAGAAGCCAAAACCUCAUUUCCGGGUGGAAGUUCAGCUCUGCCUUUGGAGCUGAGGGCCCAGCCAGCACCCCUUCUCCCUACUCUUCACUGCUGUCUCCUCAUGAUGAGAAUGCCAGCUCCGGCCACUCUGGCCCGGGCUCCGGCCUGCGGGGCAGCAGGACUGACACAAGCCCCUGGAAGCCGGGGGAAGGCUCGGUACCCCUCAAAGCUCUCCCAGCUGCACCCUGCCGGUGCUGCCCCUCAGGCUUCCUGAUCCCUGUCCUGUCCAUCAAGCAGGUGGGUCCCUGGUUGACAGCGCUUUGCACUCGAAGCAGGCCAGCCACUGGCAUGGCUCCGUCUCUACUAAGGGGCCCCUGGCUUGCUCUGCCUCCCAGCCCGGUGCCCAGAUCUCUGUGAAGGGGAGAGCCGUUGGAGAAGCCAGGUGGGGCCUGGGGAGAGCCGGCCUCCUGUGGACAGAGCCCAUGUGGUGGCCCAGUUUCUUUUCGGCCCUUUUCACAGUUCAGGGUCUGGGCCUCGCUUUGCUGCUCAGAAACCUUGCUUGCAACAGGCCUAGGAGGCUCAGGGGCAGACUCACAAAGCUCCAGAAGACGAACGGAUACAAUCGGAAUGCCGUUUCAAUGAUUUUCAAUGAAAAAUAUAACCGCUGUCAAACCAACCAGAUGCUUCGGUUUGCUGAUGGGCUCCUGCACUGCCUGUUGGCAGUUUCACAUGGGGUGGGAACAUUACUCAGAGAGCUCAGAAACUGGGCAAGGAGAGCUAGCUGAAUGGUCCUCACAAAGCGCCAGCCUGUCCUCCGCCGGGAUCCACCAGGCCGUCAGGUUCAGGACACCCUGCCCCAGCGCAGCUCUGGAGAGUACCCCCACACAUAUUUGGUGCCACAGAUACAACCUCCCUAGCUUAGCACAUUCUUUCUUUGGGCAGAGCACGUUGCAAUUGCUUAGAGAGUCACUUUCACACGUCCACUUAUAAUACCAGUCAUGUUGCUGCAAGGAUUGAAUGAGACGACACAGGAACAUGCUUUGUAAGCGCUGCUUCACCGCAGAAACCUAAGGCGUGAGAGUCAGUCCUCAGGGCCGGCUUAGUAAAGGGCCUCCACCUGUUCUCCCAGCCCCUUAUAAAGGGGAAUCUGAUUGUUAAAUCAGUGAAAACCCACCCGCUAAUAAACCCAUCACCAUGGAUUGAGACCUUACCAUUGUUCUAGGUGCCAUGGAAAAUACAGACGCAAUUAAGACGCGGUCCCCUCCCUCAAGGAAUUUAUGUAUAAUAAAGUUGAAGCUAUAAACCAACACCUACAGGGUGAUUGUGAACAGCACAAGGGGGAGUGUGCUAAGGGUAUGUGUCUGGUAUAGAAAACGUGUAAGACACUCAAGUCCCUUUGGACUUGGCUGUAAUGGGACACUCGUGUGGACGAGGGACAGACCACUGGCUGUAUUGGGUCCUGCUCUUGGAUCACUGGAUUGGGCAGUAGAGGAAUAAGUCCCCUUACUGGGGCUCUAGGCGCCUAGGAUCUCACUUGAGGCUGCUCAGCUGAAAUGUGAGAGUGCAGCUGUCCUCACGACAACGUUAGACUCGCUCUCACCUAGCCAUGGAGGAAAUGACAGCAAGGGUCAGAAUGAGCAGACAUAUGCCCAGUAGGGGCCGGGGAUAGCGUUGGUUAGCUCCCUCCCUUGCCAGCCAUGGGUAGGGGUGGGGUGAGGCAGCAAGCAGCUGGCUCAUUGACCGAGCUCCCUAGGAGCCAGAACCCCCACCAGGCUCCUUCGUUCCUCUCCCCCAACCCGAAGAGGCUCACCGUGUCUAGAGGGCUCUGAAAGCCUCGAUGGGAGCCACAGCUGCAGCUCCCUCUCGCUCAGCAGACUCAGCUUGGUUCAUUCGGCAACAAGUGUCCGAUGGC